This 1507-nucleotide ribosomal RNA is filed under the name metagenome. RNAcentral's name for it is "bacterial LSU rRNA". It matches the Rfam family "Bacterial large subunit ribosomal RNA", at positions 1339 to 2839 of the family's 2925-position model. The record is from RNAcentral.
AAAAAAGCGCAAGGUUUCCUACGCAACGUUCAUCGGCGUAGGGUGAGUCGGCCCCUAAGGUGAGGCAGAGAUGCGUAACUGAUGGGAAACAGGUCAAUAUUCCUGUACCGAUGUGUAGUGCGAUGUGGGGACGGAGAAGGUUAACUCGGCCAGGUGUUGGAUAUCCUGGUUCAAGCUUGUAGUCGUGGUCCUUAGGCAAAUCCGGGGACCUUAGAUGAGGAGUGUUAACGAGGCGGCUUGCCGCUGAAGUGAGCGAUACCCUGCUUCCAAGAAAAGCCACUAAGCUUCAGCUACACACGACCGUACCGCAAACCGACACUGGUGCGCGAGAUGAGUAUUCUAAGGCGCUUGAGAGAACUCUGGAGAAGGAACUCGGCAAAUUGACACCGUAACUUCGGAAGAAGGUGUGCCCUUAGUAGGUGAAAUCGUACAGAUGGAGCCCAAUGAGGCCGCAGAGAAUCGGUGGCUGCGACUGUUUACUAAAAACACAGCACUCUGCAAAGACGAAAGUCGACGUAUAGGGUGUGACGCCUGCCCGGUGCUGGAAGAUUAAAUGAUGGGGUGCAAGCUCUUGAUUGAAGUCCCAGUAAACGGCGGCCGUAACAAUAACGGUCCUAAGGUAGCGAAAUUCCUUGUCGGGUAAGUUCCGACCUGCACGAAUGGCGUAACGAUGGCCACACUGUCUCCUCCAGAGACUCAGCGAAGUUGAAAUGUUUGUGAUGAUGCAAUCUCCCCGCGGAAAGACGGAAAGACCCCAUGAACCUUUACUGUAGCUUUACAUUGGACUUUGAACAGAACUGUGUAGGAUAGGUGGGAGGCUUUGAAGCGGUGCCGCUAGGUGUCGUGGAGCCAACGUUGAAAUACCACCCUGGUGUGUUUGAGGUUCUAACCUUGGCCCGUUAUCCGGGUUGGGGACAGUGUAUGGUGGGCAAUUUGACUGGGGCGGUCUCCUCCCAAAGUGUAACGGAGGAGUUCGAAGGUACGCUAGGCACGGUCGGAAAUCGUGCUGAUAGUGCAUUGGCAUAAGCGUGCUUGACUGCGAGACGGACAUGUCGAGCAGGUACGAAAGUAGGACAAAGUGAUCCGGUGGUUCUGUAUGGAAGGGCCAUCGCUCAACGGAUAAAAGGUACUCUGGGGAUAACAGGCUGAUACCGCCCAAGAGUUCAUACCGACGGCGGUGUUUGGCACCUCGAUGUCGGCUCAUCUCAUCCUGGGGCUGUAGCCGGUCCCAAGGGUAUGGCUGUUCGCCAUUUAAAGAGGUACGUGAGCUGGGUUUAAAACGUCGUGAGACAGUUUGGUCCCUAUCUUCCGUGGGCGCUGCAAGAUUGAGAGAGCCUGCUCCUAGUACGAGAGGACCGGAGUGGACGCACCUCUGGUGCAUCGGUUGUCACGCCAGUGGCAUAGCCGAGUAGCUAAGUGCGGAAGAGAUAACCGCUGAAAGCAUCUAAGCGGGAAACUCGUCUCGAGAUGAGUCUUGCCGGGGCCUUGAGCCCCCUGAAGAGUCGUU